This 253-nucleotide ribosomal RNA is filed under the name uncultured bacterium. RNAcentral's name for it is "partial 16S ribosomal RNA". It matches the Rfam family "Bacterial small subunit ribosomal RNA", at positions 524 to 776 of the family's 1533-position model. The record is from RNAcentral. RNAcentral also lists the same sequence under 1 other name.
GACAGAGGUCCCGAGCGUUAGGCGGAAUCACUGGGCUUAAAGCGUGUGUAGGCGGAUGCCUAAGUACCUUGUGAAAUCCCACGGCUCACCCGUGGAACUGCUUGGUAUACUGGGUGUCUUGAGCCACUUAGGGGCUACCGGAACAAAUGGUGGAGCGGUGAAAUGCGUAGAUAUCAUUUGGAACGCCAAUGGUGAAAACAGGUAGCUGGGAGUGUGCUGACGCUGAGACACGAAAGCCAGGGGAGCAAACGGG